GACGUAGGGCGCGAGCGUGUCCGGAUUUAUUGGGCGUAAAGAGCUCGUAGGCGGCUUGUCGCGUCGAAUGUGAAAACUCGGGGCUCAACCCCGCGCUUGCAUUCGAUACGGGCAGGCUCGAGUUCGGUAGGGGAGACUGGAAUUCCUGGUGUAGCGGUGAAAUGCGCAGAUAUCAGGAGGAACACCGGUGGCGAAGGCGGGUCUCUGGGCCGAUACUGACGCUGAGGAGCGAAAGCGUGGGGAGCGAACAGG
This 252-nucleotide ribosomal RNA is filed under the name uncultured bacterium. Its description in RNAcentral is "partial 16S ribosomal RNA". It matches the Rfam family "Bacterial small subunit ribosomal RNA", at positions 524 to 776 of the family's 1533-position model. The record is from RNAcentral.